CUUCUCUUUUCAAUUGUGUAGUCCUCUUUCUUGUGAUGAUUGUGGGAUGUGUAAAACUGGUGCAUAGAUGAAAUGCUCCUUCUAGAGCAGUGGCGGCCAGACAACCGUUGAGAUAGAUCCACAGAUGAACAGUCUUUCUAGUGUUUGUCUACUAAUUAUAUCUCAAAUGC
Non-coding RNA from Brachypodium distachyon (stiff brome), 170 nucleotides. NCBI's taxonomy places the organism in Eukaryota, Viridiplantae, Streptophyta, Magnoliopsida, Poales, Poaceae. The record is from Rfam.